GACCAACUAAGUUAGUUCUUGGUAUGAGCUUUCGUGUGCAAGCACACUUCUUCAGAUACACACAGUGUAUUCUUCAGUGUAUCUGAAGAAGUGUGCUUGCACACGAAAGCUCAUACCCAGAACUAACGUAGUUGG
Non-coding RNA from Podarcis lilfordi (Lilford's wall lizard), 135 nucleotides. The record is from the annotation of a GenBank genome assembly. Lineage: Eukaryota; Metazoa; Chordata; Lepidosauria; Squamata; Lacertidae.